Molecule: long non-coding RNA, 4107 nt
Filed under: Homo sapiens (human)
Lineage: Eukaryota; Metazoa; Chordata; Mammalia; Primates; Hominidae
Description: HSALNT0136243
Source: RNAcentral
UUGAUUCAGCAGGUUGGAAACGCUCUUCUUUGACUAUCGGCGAAGAAACAUUUGGAAGUUCAUUGCAGCCUAUGGGAAAAACAGAAUAUCCCCAGAAAAAAUUAGAAAGAAUAUAUCUGCAAAACUGCUUUGUGAUGUGUGGAUUCAUCUCACAGAGUUAAAACUUUCUUUGGAACUAGCAGGUUGGAAACACACUUCCUGGAAAAUCUGUGAAUGGAAAUUUGUGAUCCCUUUAUGGCCCAUGGGUAAAAAUUGAAUGUCCCCAGAUAAAAACCAGCAGGAAGCUAUCUGUGAAGCUGCUUUGUAUUGCGUGGAUUUAUCUCACAGAGUUAAACCUUUCUUUUGAUUCUGCAUGUUGGAAACACUCUUUCUGGAGAAACUGCGAGGGACAUUUGGGAGCAUACUGAGGUCUAUAUGAAAAAACUGAAUAUGCUCAUAUAAAAACUAGAAAGAAGUUAUCUGUGAAACGGCUUUGUGAUGUGUGGAUUCAUCUCAAAACAUCAAACAUUUAUUUUUAUUCAGCAGGUUGGAAACACUCUUCUUGGAAUAUCUGCGAAGGGACAUUUGGGAGACCAUUUAGGCCUAUGGGGAAAAACCUAAUAUCCCCAGAUAAAAACUACAAAAAAGCUAUCUAUGAAACUGCUUGGUGAUGUGUGGAUUCUUCUCACAGAGUUAAAUUUUUCUCUUGAUUCAGCAUGAUGGAAACACUCUUUUUGGAGAAUCUGCGAAGAAACAUUUGGGAGGCCAUUGUGGCUUAUGGGGAAAAACUGAAUACCCCAGAUAAAAACUAGAAAGAAGCUAUCUGUGAAACUGCUUUGUGAUUUGUGGAAGCAUCUCACAGAGUUAAACAUUAAUUUUGAUUCAGCAGGCUGGAGAUACUCUUUUUGUGGAAUUUGUGAAGGGACAUUGGGGAGCUCAAGGAGGCCUCAUAGGAAAAACUGAAUAUCCCCAGAUUAAAACCAGAAAGAAGCUGUCUGAUAAACUACUUUUUGAAGUGUGGAUGUUUCUCGCAUAGUUAAACAUCUCUUUUAAUUCAGCAGGUUGGAAAAAUCAUUUUGGAGAAUCUGCAAAGGGACAUUUUGAAGCCAUUUGAGGCGUAUGGGUAAAACGGAUUAUCCCUAGAUAAAAAGUAGAAAGAAGCUCUCUGUGUAACUGCUUUGUGAUGUGUGGAUUCAUCUCAUGGAGUGGAACCUUUCUUUUGAUACAGCAGGUUGGAAACACUGUUAUUGCAGAAUCUGCAAAGGGACAUAUAGGAACACAUUGACUCCUAAGGGGAUAAAUCAAAUAUCCCAAGACAAAAACUAGAAGGACGUAUCUGUGAAACUGCUUUGUGAUGUGUGGAUUCUUCUCACGGACUUAAAACUUUCUUUUGAUCCAGCAGAUUGGAAAAACUCUUUUUGGAGAAUCAGCAAAGGGACAUUUGGGAGCUCAUUGAGGCCAAUGGGGAAAAACAAAUAAUCCCCAGAUAAAAACUAGAAAGAAGCUAUCAUUGAAAUUCCUUUGUGAUUUGUGAAUUCAUGGCACAGAGUUAAACCUCACUUUUGAUCCAGCAGGUUGGAAACACUCUUUUUGUAAAAUCCAUGAAGGCACUCCUGGAAGCCCAUUAAGACCUACAAGUAAAAACCAAUAGUCCCCAGAAAAAACUAAAAAGAAGCUAUCUGUGACACUGCUUUCUGAAGUGUGGAUUCAUCUACCAUAGUUAAACCUUUCUUUUGAUUCAGUAGGUUGGAAACAUUCUUUUUGCAGAAUCUGCAAAAAGACAUUUUGGAGCCCUUUAAGUCCUGUGCAGUAAAACUGAAUAUCCCCAGAAAAAAAUGAAAUAGAAGCUAUCUGUGAAACUGCUUUGUGAUGGGUGGAUUCAUAUCACAGAGUUAAACCUUUCUUUUUAUUCAGAAGCUUAGAAACACUCUUUUUGGUGAAUCUACAACCUGACAAUUGGGACUCAACUGAGGCUUAUGGGAAAAAAAAAUAUCCUUAUAUAAAAACCAGAAAGAAGCUAUCUGUAAAACUCCUUUGUGAUUUGUGUAUUCAUCUCACAGUGUUUAACAUUUCUUUUUAUGCAGCAGGUUGGAAACACUGUUUUUGGAUCAGCUGUGAAAAGCACAUUGAAGUUUAUGGGAAAAAAACUAUCCCCAGAUAAAAACUGGAAAGAAGUUAUUUGUGAAACUGCUUUGUGAUAUGAGAUUUCCUCUCACAGACUUAAAACUUUCUUUUGAUUCAGCAGGUAGGAAACUCUCUUUUUGGAGUAUCUGUGAAGGGACAUUUGAAAGCCCAUUGGAGCCUAUGGGGUAAAACUGAAUAUCCCAAAAUAAAAAGAAGAAAGAAGCUAUCUUUGAAAAUGCUUCAUCAUGUGUGGAUUCGUCUCACAGAGUUAAAAAUUUCCUUUGAUUCAGCAGGUUGGAAACACUCCUUUUUGAGCAUCUGUGAAAAGAUAUUUUGGAACCCAUUGUAGUCUGUCAGGAAAAACAGAAUAUCCCCAGAUAGAAACUAGAAAGAAGCUAUCUGUGAAACUGCUUUUGAAGUGUGGAUUCAUCUCUCAGAGUUAAACUUUUCUAUUGAUUCAGCAGGUUGAAAAACUCUUCUCCCUGAAUCUCUGAAGGGACUUUGGGGAGCAUAUUGAGGCCUAUUGGGCAAAACUGAAUAUCCCCCCUACCAAAAAAAAAAAAAAAAAAAAACUACAAAUAACCUAUAUGUGAAAUAGAUUUUUAAUGUGUGGAUUCUUCUCACAGAGUAAAACUUUUCUUUUGAUUCAGCCGAUAGGAAACACUGUUUUUGGAGAAUCUGCAAAGUGACAUUUUGGAGCCCAUUGAGGCCUGUUGGGAAAAAACGAAUAUCCCCAUAUAAAAACUAGAAAGAAGCUGAUAGUGAUCCUGCUUUGGGAUGUGUGGAUUCAUCUCAGAGAGUUAAAACUUUCUUUUGAUUCAGCAGGUUCAAAACACUUUUCUUGGAGAAUCUGAGAAUGGACAUUUAGGUGCCCAUUGAGGCCUAUGUGGAAAAAAUGAACACUGAGAAAAAAUUAGAAAGAAGCUAUUUGUGAAACAGCUUUGUGAUGUGUGAAUUCAUCUCAAAGAGUUAAGCCUUUCUGUUGAUCCAGCAGGUUGGAAACACUCUUUUUGAAGUAUCUUUGAAGGAACAUUUGAGAGCCCUUUGAGGCCUAUGGGGAAAAACCAGAUUUCCCCAGAUAGAAAGUAGAAAAAAGCUAUCUGUGAAACUGCUUUGUGAUGUGUGAAUUCACCUCACAGAGUGAAAGUGUACCUUUGAUUCAGCAGGUUGGAAACACUCCUUUUGGAGAAUCUGUGAAGGAACAUUUCGGAGCCCAUUGAGACCUAUAUGGAAAAAGGAAAUAUCUCCAGAUAAAAACUAGAAAGAAGCUAUCUGUGAAACUGAUUUGUGAUGUGCGGAUCCAUCUCACAGAGUUAAAACUUUCCUUUGAUUCAGCAGGUCGGAAACACUCUUUUUGGAGCAUCUGCAGAAAGACAUUUCAGAGCCCAUUGUGGCCUUUCAGGAAAAACAGAAUAUCCCCAGGUAGAAAUUGAAAGAAGCUAUAUGUGACACUGCUCUUUGAAGUGUGGAUUCAUCUCACAGAGCUAAAUGUUUCUUUUGAUUCAGCAGGUUGAAAAAACUCUUUUCCGAGAAUCUCCAAAGGGACAUUUGGGAGCACAUUGAGGCCUAUGGUGCAAAACCAAAAAUCCCCUCCAAAAAAACUAGGCAGAAGUUAUCUAUGAAACAGAUUUUUAAGUGUGAAUUUAUCUCACAGAGUUAAAACUUUCUUUUGAUUCAGAAAGUAGGAAACACUCUUUUUGGAGAAUCUGCAUAGAGACAUUUGAGAGCCCAUUGAGGCAUAUGGAUAAAAAUCAAAUAUCCUUAGAUGAAAACUAGAAAGAAGCUAUCUGUGAAAGUGUUUGUGAUACAUGGAUUCAUCUCACAGAUUUAAAUCAAUCUUUUAAUUCCCCAGCAGGUUGGAAAGACCUUUUUUGGAGAAUCUUCGAAUGGACAUUUGGGAGCCCAUUGGGGUGUAUGAGGAAAAACAGACAGAAUAUCCUCAGAUUAAAAAUAGAAAGAAACUAUCUGAGAAACUGUUUUGUGAUGUGUGGAUUCAUCUCAGAG